This 346-nucleotide unclassified non-coding RNA is filed under the name soil metagenome. RNAcentral describes it as "partial contains 5.8S ribosomal RNA, internal transcribed spacer 2, and large subunit ribosomal RNA". The stretch from base 1 to 120 matches the Rfam family "5.8S ribosomal RNA", at positions 35 to 154 of the family's 154-position model. The record is from RNAcentral.
GAUGAAGAACGUAGCGAAAUGCGAUAACUAAUGUGAAUUGCAGAAUUCCGUGAAUCAUCGAGUCUUUGAACGCACAUUGCGCCCCCUGGUAUUCCGGGGGGCAUGCCUGUCCGAGCGUCAUUGCUGCCCAUCAAGCACGGCUUGUGUGUUGGGUCCCGUCCCCCUCUCCCGGGGGACGGACCCGAAAGGCAGCGGCGGCACCGCGUCCGGUCCUCGAGCGUAUGGGGCUUUGUCACCCGCUCUUGUAGGCCCGGCCGGCGCUUGCCGACACCCAACCAUUUUUUUCAGGUUGACCUCGGAUCAGGUAGGGAUACCCGCUGAACUUAAGCAUAUCAAUAAGCGGAGA